UUUUAACCUCCGUUGGACAAAUCCUUGCUACAUUGAAAAGCAAAAUUAAGGCAAAUACAGUUUGCCUUUUAUUGGGAAAAAAGGAACUAUUUCAAAGAAUUUGUUCAGUUAACUACAGAAUAUGGUGCAAGACUUUUGACAAGUAAUGUGUUUUGUACUACUCAACUGCAAUCAGCUGUGUCAGGAGACACUUUCAUCAACUACCCUAUAAUUAUGUUAAGGCUUUCACAAAAUGACAAAUCCCAACUGGCUGGGCCAGAGCCCUGCCUUUCUAGAGAAGGGUAAUAAUUUUGUCCACUCACUGGUUCAUUCAUUUCAGCAAGUCCUGACCUGUGGAUUCACUGAGGAAUCUAAAGUUUAUUGGUAUAGACUUACACCUGGGAAAACUCAAUAUGAAGUUACUUCUCCCUAGUGAAUGCUUCUAAUCAGGGGUGAAAGAGAAGACACUUGUAUGUUUUCAUCCUUUCAACUCAGGUAAAUGAUAUGGUGCAGUGUAAUAGUUAUUUUUUACAUGAAGCCACAGGCAGGCAAGACAACCCACAAAAUAUGAGGCAAGAGGUUUGAGUCAGAGUUGCAUGUAAGCAAUGGAGCACGUGCGGGGUAAUCUCACACAGGUGAGGGUAAUCUCACACUGGCAUGGGCAUCCACUAAAGCGUCUCAGGAGGGAAAGUCAGAGAGUGAGGGUGUGGGCAGUGAGAGCCAGGCCUGGCUGCCACACACUGUCCAAGUCCCAGUUCCCACAGCAAGUGGUCUCAACAUGUUAAGGUCUCUUAGAACCAUUAGACUCCAUUGUGUUUCUCAGCUUUGCUGUUUAGUCAGUUUGUGAGGGUUUGCAGUUUGUCUCAGAAGAGGAUGAGAUGGUGGGUCAGCUGUCCCAGCUGUAUGUCAAUAGAGAUAUCAUGAAGUUUGCCACCCUAACCAGUGGCAGGCCCAAACAAAAAGAAAUUUCCUCAGCUCAGAGCCACUGAAAAUCCUUGUCCUUAGGCUUUCUCCAAGGGUUAUGCUAAUAUUCUUGCUCAGGCAGGCCCAACUGUGCUUCUUUCUUCUUUUCAGUUGAACUGUUAAUUCUCUGCAUACCCGUUUCCCAAAACAAUGCUUGAUAAAUGCUAAUGCCUCCUUAAUAAAUCACUGGUUUUC
This 1137-nucleotide long non-coding RNA is filed under the name Junco hyemalis (dark-eyed junco). Its description in RNAcentral is "lncRNA (ENSJHYG00000014555.1)". Lineage: Eukaryota; Metazoa; Chordata; Aves; Passeriformes; Passerellidae. The record is from RNAcentral.